CAUGGGCGAAAGCCUGAUGCAGCAACGCCGCGUGGAGCGAUGAAGGCCUUCGGGUCGUAAAGCUCUGUCCUCAAGGAAGAUAAUGACGGUACUUGAGGAGGAAGCCCCGGCUAACUACGUGCCAGCAGCCGCGGUAAUACGA
This 142-nucleotide ribosomal RNA is filed under the name uncultured Bacillota bacterium. Its description in RNAcentral is "uncultured Firmicutes bacterium partial 16S ribosomal RNA". It matches the Rfam family "Bacterial small subunit ribosomal RNA", at positions 370 to 528 of the family's 1533-position model. The record is from RNAcentral. Lineage: Bacteria; Bacillati; Bacillota.